GUACUACUCCCUCCGUUCGGAAUUACUUGUCGCGAAAAUGGAUGUAUCUAGGUCUAGAUACAUCCAUUUGUGCGACAAGUAAUUCCGAACGGAGGGAGUACAUA
Triticum aestivum (bread wheat) is the source of this 104-nucleotide non-coding RNA. The record is from Rfam. NCBI's taxonomy places the organism in Eukaryota, Viridiplantae, Streptophyta, Magnoliopsida, Poales, Poaceae.